AUGUUACAGACAGAUGGCUCCUGGUCUGGCUGUGACUGUGGCAGCGGGCCGGUCGGCCAGGCCCACGCCAAGCUCCCCUCAGGCAGCCUACAGACCGUGGCUUCAGCUGUGGGGAGGAAACAGAGCUUCUCCUCGUGCUCCCAUCCUGUCCUUUGCAGUGAAGGAGCACGCAGCGGUGAUUGUACCUGCCCUGCUGGCAGGUGUUUUUGGGCUGAUACCUGCCUAAACCGUGCUGACCUGCUGCCAAGCACUUGGAGCUUCCUGCUGCGUCCCAGGGGACUGCUGAGAAUUGAGAUCUGCUCGAGUUACGUUAUAGCACACUGCUUUAUUAAAGCCCCCAGAAAUUAUAGAGGAAAGUCACUGUGUUUCAAGAAAGCAAACCUUGGGAUAGUUUCAAGUCUUAUGGGAUUGGAAGAGAAGGAAGCAGGGAAGGCUUUUGUAAAGAAAACCCACAAGUAUAUUAGGUAGGUCAAGAUGUAUAUAUUAAUAUUUGAUAAAACAUUGCCUCUGUAAGCAUCAUCAACGCCAACUUGGAAGAGGUGGUUUUUUCACUGACCCAAAGACACGAGGGAUCUGGCUGUUUCAUGUAUGCCCUGUGAGAUCCUUGACCACUAGCUGAUUCCUGAGCUUCUCACUAUUUCAUGAGUUAUUGAAUUUCUUCCAAAGCCUAUCAGCUCCUUCCCCUUCUAAUAAGAAGAAUAAAAAUGAAAAUUGGAAGAUGCCCGUGGAAGAG
This 733-nucleotide long non-coding RNA is filed under the name Anser brachyrhynchus (Pink-footed goose). RNAcentral describes it as "lncRNA (ENSABRG00000016723.1)". Lineage: Eukaryota; Metazoa; Chordata; Aves; Anseriformes; Anatidae. The record is from RNAcentral.